RNAcentral lists this ribosomal RNA (410 nucleotides) under uncultured bacterium. Its description in RNAcentral is "bacterial SSU rRNA". It matches the Rfam family "Bacterial small subunit ribosomal RNA", at positions 29 to 424 of the family's 1533-position model. The record is from RNAcentral.
AUUGAACGCUGGCGGCAUGCCUUACACAUGCAAGUCGAACGGCAGCACGGGUCUCGGGCAACUGAGCCCUGGUGGCGAGUGGCGAACGGGUGAGUAAUGCAUCGGAACGUGCCCAGUAGUGGGGGAUAACUAGUCGAAAGAUUAGCUAAUACCGCAUACGACCUACGGGUGAAAGCGGGGGAUUUUCGGGCAACCGAGAACCUCGCGCUAUCGGAGCGGCCGAUGUCUGAUAGCUAGUUGGCGGGGUAAAAGCCCACCAAGGCUUCGAUCAGUAGCUGGUCUGAGAGGACGACCAGCCACACUGGGACUGAGACACGGCCCAGACUCCUACGGGAGGCAGCAGUGGGGAAUUUUGGACAAUGGGCGCAAGCCUGAUCCAGCCAUGCCGCGUGCGGGAAGAAGGCCUGGUU